RNAcentral lists this ribosomal RNA (253 nucleotides) under uncultured bacterium. Its description in RNAcentral is "partial 16S ribosomal RNA". It matches the Rfam family "Bacterial small subunit ribosomal RNA", at positions 524 to 776 of the family's 1533-position model. The record is from RNAcentral.
UACGUAGGUGGCAAGCGUUGUCCGGAUUUACUGGGCGUAAAGAGCGCGCAGGCGGUCGUUCAAGUCGCGUGUGAAAGCCCCCGGCUUAACCGGGGAGGGUCGUUGGGGACGGCGGGGCUUGAGGGCGGGAGAGGUCGGUGGAAUUCCCGGUGUAGUGGUGAAAUGCGUAGAGAUCGGGAGGAACACCUGUGGCGAAGGCGGCCGACUGGGCCGACCCUGACGCUGAGGCGCGAAGGCGUGGGGAGCGAACGGG